RNAcentral lists this ribosomal RNA (492 nucleotides) under uncultured bacterium. Its description in RNAcentral is "partial 16S ribosomal RNA". It matches the Rfam family "Bacterial small subunit ribosomal RNA", at positions 29 to 507 of the family's 1533-position model. The record is from RNAcentral.
AUUGAACGCUGGCGGCAUGCUUUACACAUGCAAGUCGAACGGUAACAGGCCUUCGGGUGCUGACGAGUGGCGAACGGGUGAGUAAUGCAUCGGAACGUACCCAGAGGUGGGGGAUAACGCAGCGAAAGCUGUGCUAAUACCGCAUGUGAUCUGAGGAUGAAAGCGGGGGACCGAGCAGCAAUGUUUGGCCUCGCGCCUUUGGAGCGGCCGAUGUCGGAUUAGCUAGUUGGUGGGGUAGAGGCCUACCAAGGCGACGAUCCGUAGCUGGUCUGAGAGGACGACCAGCCACACUGGGACUGAGACACGGCCCAGACUCCUACGGGAGGCAGCAGUGGGGAAUUUUGGACAAUGGGCGCAAGCCUGAUCCAGCAAUGCCGCGUGCGGGAAGAAGGCCUUCGGGUUGUAAACCGCUUUUGGCAGGAACGAAACGGUGUCCGCUAAUACCGGGCGCUAAUGACGGUACCUGCAGAAUAAGCACCGGCUAACUACGUG